AUGCCUUGCAGAAAGGCAAGACUGCGGCGGCGGCAACUACGAGUCCAUGUAGACAUUGUGUCGUCGAGUGUGUCUGAGGUGGAGAUGCCGGCGGUGGAUUAUGAUGAUGGUGACGAUGUUGAUGAUGAGCCUGUCAAGUCUGAAGAAGCAGCAGCUCCGUCUGAAUCUGAUCAGGCCGCCGAGGAAGCGGCCGAGGAGGAGACGAUGGCGAUGAUGAUGGGACUGGGGGGGCUGGCCGACGAGGCGGCUGAGGAGGCGGCCAACAGCGGAGCCAAGAAGAAGAGGAGAGGCAAUCGGUCGGCCCACGACAUGAUGGUGGAAGCGAGAGAGAAGCAAGGGGAAAGACCUGAGGAAGCCAACACCGAUCCAUAUGCCUACGAGGCCCGCGGCCACCGCGCAGAUUGGGACUGGAUCUUCGCCCGACACUACGGCCCCUUCGACCAGACCACGUCCAUCCCCGCCUCGUGCUUCACCGGCCUUCGUCGGCCUACCAAGUGCUACGCCAGCACCCAGGAGAUGCUCCAGAUCUUCUGGAUCAAAGUCCGCAAGAUAAAGAAGCCCCUCAAGUGGCCAUUACAGGUUUUUGGUUCGAUCGCCGUGCGGGAUGUGCUGGAUCACAAUCGCAUCAUGGUCUUCGAUCGCCAAAGGGAUAACUGCCAAACCCUUACUAAGAAGGAUCGAUUUCUUACGCUGACGGGUCCUACCCGAGGAGUUGUGGUGGAUGUACAUCCUACCUAUGUUGAGGUUGAUCUGAAGGCGAAGGGCGCCACAGAAUCUGAGGAUAGAGAUUUAAGCUAUUUAGUAGUCAGGUCUAUGCCCUGCAGCCCCUGUUAUGGUGCCGUCCCUAGCAAGCUUAGCACAUUGGAGUUGGCAUACCUUCGAAUGUACGACUGUGUGGAAGCCGCAAUCAGUGUCAAAGUCAGAAAGCAUGGGUUUUGGCCUGGUUGCCGAGGUUUAUUCACUGCCAGCACAGCUAGUUUGGAAGACAUGGAGAUCCCGUUGCUUGCUUUUGAAGGAGAUAGGUUGCCAGUUGAUGGUGGUGGAAGGCUUGAGCUUUCACGCUGUGUGGUCUGCGUCGAGCUUCGGCAGCCCGAAGGUAAGCUCUUGUUUUCGGCGAAGGCACUGCGUGGUGGUGAUGAGAAAGAUGUGAGGAGAGUUCGUAAGACUUUCACUCCCAAGAAGGCUGGUAAAACCAAGGAGAAUAUUAAGAUUGGUUCCUGUGAGAUGGAGGUAACUGUCACAUGGUCCCUUCUUCCGAGUUGUAAGUAUGAUUAUGACAGUGCUUUGAGAAGGUAUUAUUAA
Molecule: ribosomal RNA, 1302 nt
Filed under: Triticum aestivum (bread wheat)
Lineage: Eukaryota; Viridiplantae; Streptophyta; Magnoliopsida; Poales; Poaceae
Description: partial small subunit ribosomal RNA
Source: RNAcentral